CGCGUAGGCGGUCUCUUAAGUCAGAUGUGAAAGCCCGGGGCUUAACCCUGGAAGUGCAUUUGAAACUAAGGGACUUGAGUAUGGGAGAGGGAAGUGGAAUUCCUGGUGUAGAGGUGAAAUUCGUAGAUAUCAGGAGGAACACCGGUGGCGAAGGCGACUUCCUGGACCAAUACUGACGCUAAGGCGCGAAGGCGUGGGGAGCAAACAGGAUUAGAUACCCUGGUAGUC
This 228-nucleotide ribosomal RNA is filed under the name uncultured bacterium. Its description in RNAcentral is "partial 16S ribosomal RNA". It matches the Rfam family "Bacterial small subunit ribosomal RNA", at positions 568 to 795 of the family's 1533-position model. The record is from RNAcentral.